UGAGGCGAACCGGGGGAACUGAAACAUCUAAGUACCCCGAGGAAAAGAAAUCAACCGAGAUUCCCCCAGUAGCGGCGAGCGAACGGGGAGGAGCCCAGAGCCUGAAUCAGUGUGUGUGUUAGUGGAAGCGUCUGGAAAGGCGCGCGAUACAGGGUGACAGCCCCGUACACAAAAAUGCACAUACUGUGAGCUCGAUGAGUAGGGCGGGACACGUGGUAUCCUGUCUGAAUAUGGGGGGACCAUCCUCCAAGGCUAAAUACUCCUGACUGACCGAUAGUGAACCAGUACCGUGAGGGAAAGGCGAAAAGAACCCCGGCGAGGGGAGUGAAAAAGAACCUGAAACCGUGUACGUACAAGCAGUGGGAGCCUCUUAAUGGGGUGACUGCGUACCUUUUGUAUAAUGGGUCAGCGACUUAUAUUCUGUAGCAAGGUUAACCGAAUAGGGGAGCCGAAGGGAAACCGAGUCUUAACUGGGCGUUAAGUUGCAGGGUAUAGACCCGAAACCCGGUGAUCUAGCCAUGGGCAGGUUGAAGGUUGGGUAACACUAACUGGAGGACCGAACCGACUAAUGUUGAAAAAUUAGCGGAUGACUUGUGGCUGGGGGUGAAAGGCCAAUCAAACCGGGAGAUAGCUGGUUCUCCCCGAAAGCUAUUUAGGUAGCGCCUCGUGAAUUCAUCUCCGGGGGUAGAGCACUGUUUCGGCAAGGGGGUCAUCCCGACUUACCAACCCGAUGCAAACUGCGAAUACCGGAGAAUGUUAUCACGGGAGACACACGGCGGGUGCUAACGUCCGUCGUGAAGAGGGAAACAACCCAGACCGCCAGCUAAGGUCCCAAAGUCAUGGUUAAGUGGGAAACGAUGUGGGAAGGCCCAGACAGCCAGGAUGUUGGCUUAGAAGCAGCCAUCAUUUAAAGAAAGCGUAAUAGCUCACUGGUCGAGUCGGCCUGCGCGGAAGAUGUAACGGGGCUAAACCAUGCACCGAAGCUGCGGCAGCGACGCUUAUGCGUUGUUGGGUAGGGGAGCGUUCUGUAAGCCUGUGAAGGUGUGCUGUGAG
This 1053-nucleotide ribosomal RNA is filed under the name Escherichia coli. RNAcentral's name for it is "partial 23S ribosomal RNA". It matches the Rfam family "Bacterial large subunit ribosomal RNA", at positions 175 to 1267 of the family's 2925-position model. The record is from RNAcentral. Lineage: Bacteria; Pseudomonadati; Pseudomonadota; Gammaproteobacteria; Enterobacterales; Enterobacteriaceae.